Molecule: transfer RNA, 76 nt
Filed under: Gammaproteobacteria bacterium
Lineage: Bacteria; Pseudomonadati; Pseudomonadota; Gammaproteobacteria
Description: tRNA-Ile
Rfam family: tRNA
About the family: Transfer RNA (tRNA) molecules are approximately 80 nucleotides in length. Their secondary structure includes four short double-helical elements and three loops (D, anti-codon, and T loops).
Source: RNAcentral
GGGCUUGAGCUCAGCUGGUUAGAGCGCACGCUUGAUAAGCGUGAGGUCGGAGGUUCAAAUCCUCCCUGGCCCACCA